UUGAUAGAGGCGCGGAAUUUAUCAGUAGCACAAAGGCUUUAAGGCAAUCGGCUUUGUGUGAAAGGAAAUUUCGCCGAAGGCAAACGGAUUUGCCUUAAACCGUUUGUCUGGGUCGUCGGGUAACACCCGCCGGACUGUCGCGUUUUGCGGAGGGCUAUCGGA
RNAcentral lists this non-coding RNA (162 nucleotides) under bovine gut metagenome. Its description in RNAcentral is "Lysine riboswitch". It matches the Rfam family "Lysine riboswitch aptamer". Rfam says of the family: Riboswitches are metabolite binding domains within certain messenger RNAs that serve as precision sensors for their corresponding targets. Allosteric rearrangement of mRNA structure is mediated by ligand binding, and this results in modulation of gene expression. The record is from RNAcentral.